This 72-nucleotide transfer RNA is filed under the name Camelus bactrianus (Bactrian camel). It matches the Rfam family "tRNA". Rfam says of the family: Transfer RNA (tRNA) molecules are approximately 80 nucleotides in length. Their secondary structure includes four short double-helical elements and three loops (D, anti-codon, and T loops). RNAcentral also lists the same sequence under 2 other names. Lineage: Eukaryota; Metazoa; Chordata; Mammalia; Artiodactyla; Camelidae. The record is from Rfam by way of RNAcentral.
GAGGGUAUAGCUGAGCGGUAGAGUGCGUGCUUAGCAUGCAUGGGGUCCUGGGUUCAAUAUCCAGUACAAUCA